UGGCCUGCAGGAACAGGCGCCGGGGGAGGCGAGGUGGUGCUCGCCUGCAGGGAUUAGUGGCAAGGUUAAACCAAGAGAGUAAAGGUUAAAUGACUUAAAAAUGUCCUUAGAGCUCCCUUAAGCCAAUUACUGCUCCCGCGUCAGUCUGCGUGGUGGCGGUGGCGGCGUGUAACGUAUGCAAGACGGUGCGUGCGGUGCCUGAACACGGAAUGUCCUGUUGGGUCAUUCAAGAUUUAUAGUGCUGACGUCUCAGCUCCUGCAGGAGUAUCCCCUUGCACCGCCUCGGAUAUCUCCCGUUGAGGGUUUAUUCGUUUUUCGCAAGGGCGGCGUUCGCGUCGGAGCUCGGCGAUCUCAUCCCCCGGUAAACGAGCCCGCGGUUAAAACCCGGCGGCACCCUCCAUGCCUGGAGCCCCUGCGGGCGAUGCGCCGUUGGCUUGGGCGCGCUCAGGGGCCGCACGUGUCCUUCUUUGAGCCAAAAAACCGUUUUGGAACAGCCUGCGAUUGAGUUUUGCGUCAGGGCAGCCGGGGCAGGCAGGAGCCAUCCUGCUGCCGCCUCAGCGUAAAUCUGUAAUAAAUUGAUACCACUAGCUCUGAGGGUAGGUAGGGCCAAAGCCUUGCGUGGUUUGGGGUCUUGUUGUUGCAGUGGGUGUUUCCUAAACCGCUCAUAAAACGCCUCUGGGACCUAAUGUUUAUUCAGAAAAAACAAACAAACAAACAAACAAACAAACCCAAAAGCCAGGGGGAAAUGAUGAGCUUUGACAGUACAGCUUUAUUUUUAAAAAAAAAACCCUUUCCGAGUCUGAGCGACAUCUAAGCUUUAAACAGGCUUAUCACCUGAAGCUUCUGGAGGCAACUUGCUUCUGCCGCAGAGGCGACGGCCCUCGUUUCGCUCCGGUGAGGCUCUGGGAAGGACCCGGCUCCUGGGAGCAGCGCUGGCGUUGAGCGGGGGCCAGGCACUGCUUUGUAAAUUGUCUUCUCUCUGUCUCUGCGAAAAGCAAACCCAAUCCAGCCCCAGGAACCCAAGCCGUGCGUUGGGACACUGGUUUAAUUUGCUGGCUGGCCCCCUCCGGUGGGAUGCAAAUCAGAGCCGUGCUAUAAUCACGGCAAUUAGACAGUCAAUCGAUCCUUCUCCAAAUAUUGAUGGAGGAAGGUUUCCUCACUGGAUUUUGAUGCUUCCUCUAGAGUUCUCGAUCCGAACGCGGUGGAUUUCACAGCUUUCAAAUGCCUGUCACCUCCGUGUAUCCCGUUCCCAAGUGUGGGAGUAAAUGCUGAGCCCACGUACGAAAUAAUAAAGCAUUUGCCUUU
Tyto alba (common barn owl) is the source of this 1305-nucleotide long non-coding RNA. RefSeq lists it as uncharacterized. The transcript has 2 exons. The record is from RefSeq and is a predicted model, not a curated record. NCBI's taxonomy places the organism in Eukaryota, Metazoa, Chordata, Aves, Strigiformes, Tytonidae.